Molecule: ribosomal RNA, 394 nt
Filed under: uncultured bacterium
Lineage: Bacteria
Description: partial 16S ribosomal RNA
Rfam family: Bacterial small subunit ribosomal RNA
Source: RNAcentral
CCUACGGGAGACAGCAGUGAGGAAUAUUGGUCAAUGGACGCAAGUCUGAACCAGCCAUGCCGCGUGCAGGAAGACGGCUCUAUGAGUUGUAAACUGCUUUUGUACGAGGGUAAACGCAGAUACGCGUAUCUGUCUGAAAGUAUCGUACGAAUAAGGAUCGGCUAACUCCGUGCCAGCAGCCGCGGUAAUACGGAGGAUUCAAGCGUUAUCCGGAUUUAUUGGGGUUAAAGGGUGCGUAGGCGGUAGGAUAAGUUAGAGGUGAAAUCCCGAGGCUCAACUUCGGAAUUGCCUCUGAUACUGUUCGGCUAGAGAGUAGGUGCGGUAGGCGGAAUGUAUGGUGUAGCGGUGAAAUGCGUAGAGAUCAUACAGAACACCGAUUGCGAAGGCAGCUUAC